CAUAAAUAAAAGGCAUUCAUCAGCUGUAAAGUCUUCUCUGCCAAAUAUAUAAACAGGGAACUGUCGCAUCAUCUCGGUAAAACCCUCAAGCAUCCGCAGACUGUCAGCCACCGCAGGUUCGCUACCACUACUUACUACCAACAUGUAAUAAAAAGCCAGGCAUGACAUAUCCCACAUCCAACAAGCGUCUCUGCGCACUAGUAUCGCCAACCGACAACACACGCAUGUUUCUCGAUGCCAAAAAGACACUGCCAACACUUAACCAGAGUUUUUUGUCCUGCUGAUGAUCGCAAAACCAUCGGUCACGAGGGCGGGCUCAGGGGGCGUUCACCGGUUCCCGUUCAUCUUGGCCAUCAUCUUGGCUAUGAUGGGCCCCACCUUCGGGUUCGCCUGGUGCUUGGUCAAGUUGGCAGGGUUGCUCAUCACUGCACCAAACAGAGGGUCAGGUCACUGCAAAGGAAGUAUCGAACAAGAACAACAUAGGCUAAAGCAGCUAAAGAAAACAACCCUAAAGCAGCAGGCAUAUAAGCAGAGAUUACAGUUCUUGUGAGCAUUAUAUCCAAGUUUAGAUAUUACAAUUUGUAUAAGCCUUAUAUCCAAGUUUAAGAAUACGCAAGGUUCAAAGAUUUAGUGUAGCUCAUAUAAAAUGGUACCUCCCAUCUAAAUAUUUGAGCCAUGCAAUACUACCCUGACGAGUAAGAAAGUACAGGACCAGAACAAUGUAGCCUACAGCAGUUCUCACACACAACCCUAAAGCAGCAAAUACAUCGUGAUACAAGCAAACGGUUAUGUCCUAACAAUUAGAACUUUCACUAGACAUGGAUGCAUACAAGGAAUGUUGAUACCAUGAGUACUAACCUGAACUAUUAGAAUAUAUCUACUAAUCUAGUAGUAUAAGAAUAAAGAUAUCGUCAAACGCAUCACAUAAAGUGGCCUCUAGUGAUAAAAAAUUAUCUGCCGCACCAGAUUUCAGGAUUGAGCAUACAUCACUAGCAUGCUUGCAUGUUCAGAAUAUUCAAUCAAACUAAUCCGCACCUUGCAUAACUCACCAAAUAUGCCCACUGUACUCCAAAAACAGACUAAAUACUCCCUCCGUUCGGAAAUACUUGUCGACAAAAUGAACAAAAAGGGAUGUAUCUAGAUGUAUAUUAGUUCUAGAUACAUCCCUUUUUAUCUAUUUUGAUGACAAGUAUUUUCGGACGGAGGGAGUACUAUGCAAAGAAAUAUGUUGCACUUAUGACCACUGCUAUUAUUAAGAGAAAUUUAUAUUCAAUCAGCUGUUUUCCAGCACCAGGACUUGACCAGGAAGAUCAACUACAACAGGCAACUGUACUAUAAAGUAAAUGGGGAUUAGAGAACUAUUUGAGUAGAAAACUGUACCAUCUUGAAGGGCCGCCAUAACCUCUGGGUCACCAAAUGCUGCCAUCAGGUCAGGGUCCUGUUUCAAAGAGAAGAAAGAAGAACAUUGUGUAAAACAGGUUUCUCCAGUAUCAAGAGUUAUGGUUACAAGGAAGACAGGCAGACACUGGGCAAGCACUUACAUUCAAGAUGUCACCCAUAUCAACAUUCCCAGGAGCACCUCCAGCUCCAGGCAUACCACCUCCCAUUCCUCUGCCACCGCCCAUUCCAGGCAUACCACCUCCCAUUCCUGCGGGCAUACCGCCCCCCAUUCCUGCGGGCAUACCUCCACCCAUUCCUGCGGGCAUACCUCCACCCAUUCCUCCAGGGAAACCACCCCCCAUUCCUCCGGGGAAGCCACCAGGCAUUCCACCCAUGCCUCCUGGGAAUGGGAAGCCACCGGGCAUUCCACCAGGCAUGCCUCCUGAAGAG
RNAcentral lists this long non-coding RNA (1830 nucleotides) under Triticum aestivum (bread wheat). RNAcentral describes it as "long non-coding RNA (TAES_LNC009526)". The stretch from base 1081 to 1215 matches the Rfam family "MIR1120/MIR1122 microRNA precursor family". Lineage: Eukaryota; Viridiplantae; Streptophyta; Magnoliopsida; Poales; Poaceae. The record is from RNAcentral.